UAAGCGGAGGAAAAGAAACCAACAGGGAUUGCCCUAGUAACGGCGAGUGAAGCGGCAACAGCUCAAAUUUGAAAUCUGGCCUCGGCCCGAGUUGUAAUUUGCAGAGGAAGUUUCUGGCAAGGUGCCUUCUGAGUCCACUGGAACGUGGCGCCACAGAGGGUGAGAGCCCCGUAUAGUAGGACACCACGCCUGUGUGAAACCCCUUCGACGAGUCGAGUAGUUUGGGAAUGCUGCUCUAAAUGGGAGGUAAAUUCCUUCUAAAGCUAAAUAUUGGCCCGAGACCGAUAGCGUACAAGUAGAGUGAUCGAAAGAUGAAAAGCACUUUGAAAAGAGAGUCAAAUAGCACGUGAAAUUGUUGAAAGGGAAGGAUUUGUGACCAGACUUGCGCCGCGCGGUUCUCCCGGUGUUCUCACCGGUGCACUCCGUGCGGUUCAGGCCAGCAUCGGUUUUCGGCGGGGGAUAAAAGCGAUGGGAACGUAGCUCCCUUGGGAGUGUUAUAGCCCGCCGCAGAAUACCCCGUCGGGGACCGAGGCCCGCGUUUUUCACGGAUGCUGGCGUAAUGGUUACCAAUCACCCGUCUUGA
RNAcentral lists this ribosomal RNA (583 nucleotides) under Telimena leeae. RNAcentral's name for it is "eukaryotic LSU rRNA". It matches the Rfam family "Eukaryotic large subunit ribosomal RNA", at positions 47 to 657 of the family's 3401-position model. The record is from RNAcentral. Lineage: Eukaryota; Fungi; Ascomycota; Sordariomycetes; Phyllachorales; Telimenaceae.